CACUACACACACACCUCACUCUCAUCCUGCAGCCAAUAAGGACCUGAUGAGCUCAAGUAUCACUAUAACACAAGGACUUAUUCUCUGAGCCGAGGCUGCAGAUUCUUACAGACCUUCAUCCUCAUCGUCCGAGGAGCUUCUCUCCCUCUCUGAGGUGUGAAGUUUGCUGUCGCCAUGUCUGACACUGAAGAACUGGAUCAGGUCGAGGG
Epinephelus moara (kelp grouper) is the source of this 209-nucleotide long non-coding RNA. RefSeq lists it as uncharacterized. The record is from RefSeq and is a predicted model, not a curated record. Lineage: Eukaryota; Metazoa; Chordata; Actinopteri; Perciformes; Serranidae. The transcript is spliced from 3 exons.